This 221-nucleotide ribosomal RNA is filed under the name uncultured bacterium. Its description in RNAcentral is "partial 16S ribosomal RNA". It matches the Rfam family "Bacterial small subunit ribosomal RNA", at positions 524 to 737 of the family's 1533-position model. The record is from RNAcentral.
UACGGAGGGUGCGAGCGUUGUCCGGAAUCACUGGGCGUAAAGGGCGCGUAGGCGGCGCGGGCAGUCAACGGUGAAAGCUCGGGGCUCAACCCCGAGUCGGCCGUCGAUACUCCCCGUGCUCGAGCACUGUAGAGGCAGGUGGAAUUCCGGGUGUAGCGGUGGAAUGCGUAGAGAUCCGGAAGAACGACCGGUGGCGCAAGGGCGGCCUGGAGCUGGGCCAU